GGAAGUAAAAUCGUAACAAGGUUUCCGUAGGUGAGCCUGCGGAAGGAUCAUUAUUGUAUAACCGAGGUGCGAGGGCUGUCGCUGACCCGAAAGGUCGUGCACGCCCGAGUGCCCUCACACACAUCCAUCUCACCCCUAUGUGCACCACCGCGUGGGUCCCCCUUUGGCUUGUUCGGAGGGGGGCUUACGUUUUCACACAAACUUUGUAUGCAGUGUAGAAUGUAUUUUUUGUUUUUGCGAUCACGCAAUCAAUACAACUUUCAACAACGGAUCUCUUGGCUCUC
Molecule: unclassified non-coding RNA, 284 nt
Filed under: plant metagenome
Description: partial contains small subunit ribosomal RNA, internal transcribed spacer 1, and 5.8S ribosomal RNA
Rfam family: Eukaryotic small subunit ribosomal RNA (bases 1-53)
Source: RNAcentral